This 80-nucleotide transfer RNA is filed under the name Lasius niger. It matches the Rfam family "tRNA". Rfam says of the family: Transfer RNA (tRNA) molecules are approximately 80 nucleotides in length. The record is from Rfam by way of RNAcentral. Lineage: Eukaryota; Metazoa; Arthropoda; Insecta; Hymenoptera; Formicidae.
ACCCAGAUGGCGAAACUGGUAGACGCAGCAGAUUCAAAACCUGCCGAGAAAUCAUGUGGGUUCAAGUCCCACUCUGGGUA